CCUCCUGUAGCUCAGGGGAAGAGUGCGGUCCUUAUAAGGCCGUGGUCGCAGGUUCGAUCCCUGCCGGGAGGA
Molecule: transfer RNA, 72 nt
Filed under: Patescibacteria group bacterium
Lineage: Bacteria
Description: tRNA-Ile
Rfam family: tRNA
About the family: Transfer RNA (tRNA) molecules are approximately 80 nucleotides in length.
Source: RNAcentral